Long non-coding RNA from Mirounga angustirostris (Northern elephant seal), 213 nucleotides. RefSeq lists it as uncharacterized. NCBI's taxonomy places the organism in Eukaryota, Metazoa, Chordata, Mammalia, Carnivora, Phocidae. The record is from RefSeq and is a predicted model, not a curated record. The transcript has 2 exons.
UAGCACCUCUGAAGGUUUAGGUGACUUACCUCGUGGAGUGACAGAUUCUUAAAACUGAUGAGUUCCAGUUCCUGUUUAUCAUGUCCUUCUCGGGCUGCCCCUGCUGCUCUUGUCCAUUUGCCAUCAAAAUUGCACAGGUAACGUCACCUGCAAUAUUCCAAACCAAUGAAGAAAGCCCCAUCUGAGAAUAUUCUUCCUACCCCCUAUCAGCAC